UGAGUUCAGUAGUCAUAAAAGAUUGAUAUUUACUCGAAAUCUAACUGGGUUUUGCUUUCCUCAAACUUUUGCAUAAGUUGGUGGUGAAAGUGGAUCUAGGUGAUGAGGAAGACAGGACAAAGGCCAAGCGAGUAGUUUGGCAUAUUGCAGGUAUUGGCCCUCUCCCUGUCUGUUUUUUCCCUUCAUUCUCCCACUGAAUGUUUAAAUCGUCACUGUGAUAGUAAUCAUCAUGUGCUCGAAAUGUUGGGCUUCGCUAACCUUUGUCACGUAAUGCUUUCCAGGAUUUGAGCGUCUGACUGUGGACAAAAAGCACAGUAAACUAACAGUAUCUGGCACUAUGGACCCGGUCAAGGUGGUGAACAAACUGACGAAACUGCACGCAGAAAUGGUGAGCUUCGGAGCAGCCAAAGAAGACGAUGGCAAGAAAGAAGGGGGAAAGAAGAACGAAGAUCAAGUCGCCAGUCAGGUAAAAGCCUCUCAAGCAUACUAUCCUGGACAGGCCAGUGCUCUUCGGCUCCUUGAUCUCCUUUUUUCACUCCUACUCUUCGAACCUACCCGAUGAUCAUUCUCCAAUCAAUCCUAAAUGUACAAAAAAGAUUGACUAUUCCCGAAGAUAAAUUUGGAAUCUCCGUUGAUUUUGUCGCCUAUACAAACGGAUCUCCAGUUUCCAGAAGUAACGUUCUUCAAUUUAAGGAAAGUAGCUUGUGUUCAUAACGAUUAUCAAUCAGAAGCUUUCUUGCAAAACUGUCCUUAAGAUUGGCAAUUUAAUCAUCACUUUCUAUAUUUGAAAUCCUAGACAGAUUACUAGUUGUGUUGUUCAAAAUAGUGGCGCUUGCGUCUGAAUGUUUAUGUGGGAGUUGAUCUUCAGAUUCUCAUGUUGUUCCACUGUAGUGGACUCUGUAAAUAUUUCAAGGUUUUGACGAUCUCCGCGUAUCAGAUUUGCCGAUAUCCAUAUGGUCAAUAUCCAUGAUGUUGUUGAGAUGCUAUACAAAGAUAUUUGAACAACAACAGAAGGGUUCUGAAAAAUGUCAAGAUAUUGACUUCUCUUCAUGGUCUCUAUAUUCAAAGAGCAGUUGAUUGAAUCUGAAACAACUUCUCUUCAUGAGUAGUUCCUGUAAAAAGAUACUCAUAUGCACGUAUCAGAUUCAAGACGAACCAAAGAAGAUUUUAUCAAUUUCAAAAUUUUAUUGAUAGGUUUUCUCAAUAGUAAUUGUUAAUCGUAUAGCAUGAUGGUCUCUACUCGUGUGAAUAAUAAUUGUAGGAAUAUCAAAUGAUGCUUCAAAUUCUUAUCCAUUAUUGAUUACAUAUGGCCAAGUUGUUUAAACGCUAGUCUGUCACCCCACAUGUGAUCGUCUGAGUUCAGUAGUCGUAAAAGAUUGAUAUUUACUCGAAAUCUAACUGGGUUUUGCUUUCCUCAAACUUUUGCAGAAGUUGGUGGUGAAAAUGGAUAUAGGUGAUGAGGAAGCCAAGACAAAGGCCAAGCGAGUAGUUUGGCAUAUUGCAGUAUUGGCCCUCUCCCUGUCUGUUUUUUCCCUUCAUUCUCCACUGAAUGUUUAAAUCGUCACUGUGAUAGUAAUCAUCCUGUGCUCGAAAUGUUUGGCUUCGCUAACCUUUGUCACGUAAUGCUUUCCAGGAUUUGAGCGUCUGACUGUGGACACAGAGCUCAAUAAACUAACAGUAUCUGGCACUAUGGACCCGGUCAAGGUGGUGAACAAACUGACGAAACUGCACGCAGAAAUGGUGAGCUUCGGAGCAGCCAAGGAAGACGAUGGCAAGAAAGAAGGGGGAAAGAAGAACGAAGAUCAAGUCGCCAGUCAGGUAAAAGCCUCUCAAGCAUACUAUCCUGGACAGGCCAGUGCUCUUCGGCUCCUUGAUCUCCUUUUUUCACUCCUACACUUCGAACCUACCCGAUGAUCAUUCUCCAAUCAAUCCUAAAUGUGCAAAAAAGAUUGACUAUUCCCGAAGAUAAAUUUGGAAUCUCCGUUGAUUUUGUCGCCUAUACAAACGGAUCUCCAGUUUCCAGAAGUAGCGUUCUUCGGUUUAAGGAAAGUAGCUUGUGUUCAUAACGAUUAUCAAUCAGAAGCUUUCUUGCAAAACUGUCCUUAAGAUUGGCAAUUUAAUCAUCACUUUCUAUAUUUCAAAUCCUAGACAGAUUACUAGUUGCGUUGUUCAAAAUAGUGUCGCUUGCAUCUGAAUGUUUAUGUGGGCGUUGAUCUUCGGAUUCUGAUGUUGUUUCACUGUAGUGGACUCUGUAAAUAUUUCAAGGUUUUGAAUAUCUCCACGUAUGAGAUUUGCCGAUAUCCAUAUGGUCAAUAUCCAUGAUGUUGUUGAGAUGCUAUCCAAAGAUAUUGGAACAACAACAGAAGGGUUCUGAAAAAUGUCAAGAUAUUGACUUCUCUUCAUGGUCUCCAUAUUCAAAGAGCAGUUGAUUGAAUCUGAAACAACUUCUCUUCAUGAGUAGUUCCUGUAAGAUGAUACCGUUAUGCACGUAUCAGAUUCAAGACGAACCAAAGAAGAUUUUAUCAAUUUCAAAAUUUUAUUAAUAGGUUUUCUCAAUAGUAAUUGUUAAUCGUAUAGCAUGAUGGUCUCUACUCGUGUGAAUAAUAAUUGUAGGAAUAUCAAAUGAUGCUUCAAAUUCUUAUUCAUUAUUGCUUACAUAUGGCCAAGUUGUUUAAACGCUAGUCUCUCACACCACAUCUGAUCAUCUGAGUUCAGUAGUCAUAAAAGAUUGAUAUUUACUCGAAAUCUAACUGGGUUUUGCUUUCCUCAAACUUUUGCAUAAGUUGGUGGUGAAAGUGGAUCUAGGUGAUGAGGAAGACAGGACAAAGGCCAAGCGAGUAGUUUGGCAUAUUGCAGGUAUUGGCCCUCUCCCUGUCUGUUUUUUCCCUUCAUUCUCCCACUGAAUGUUUAAAUCGUCACUGUGAUAGUAAUCAUCCUGUGCUCGAAAUGUUGGGCUUCGCUAACCUUUGUCACGUAAUGCUUUCCAGGAUUUGAGCGUCUGACUGUGGACAAAAAGCACAGUAAACUAACAGUAUCUGGCACUAUGGACCCGGUCAAGGUGGUGAACAAACUGACGAAACUGCACGCAGAAAUGGUGAGCUUCGGAGCAGCCAAAGAAGACGAUGGCAAGAAAGAAGGGGGAAAGAAGAACGAAGAUCAAGUCGCCAGUCAGGUAAAAGCCUCUCAAGCAUACUAUCCUGGACAGGCCAGUGCUCUUCGGCUCCUUGAUCUCCUUUUUUCACUCCUACUCUUCGAACCUACCCGAUGAUCAUUCUCCAAUCAAUCCUAAAUGUGCAAAAAAGAUUGACUAUUCCCGAAGAUAAAUUUGGAAUCUCCGUUGAUUUUGUCGCCUAUACAAACGGAUCUCCAGUUUCCAGAAGUAGCGUUCUUCAAUUUAAGGAAAGUAGCUUGUGUUCAUAACGAUUAUCAAUCAGAAGCUUUCUUGCAAAACUGUCCUUCAGAUUGGCAAUUUAAUCAUCACUUUCUAUAUUUGAAAUCCUAGACAGAUUACUAGUUGUGUUGUUCAAAAUAGUGGCGCUUGCGUCUGAAUGUUUAUGUGGGCGUUGAUCUUCAGAUUCUGAUGUUGUUCCACUGUAGUGGACUCUGUAAAUAUUUCAAGGUUUUGACGAUCUCCGCAUAUCAGAUUUGCCGAUAUCCAUAUGGUCAAUAUCCAUGAUGUUGUUGAGAUGCUAUACAAAGAUAUUUGAACAACAACAGAAGGGUUCUGAAAAAUGUCAAGAUAUUGACUUCUCUUCAUGGUCUCUAUAUUCAAAGAGCAGUUGAUUGAAUCUGAAACAACUUCUCUUCAUGAGUAGUUCCUGUAAGAAGAUACUGUUAUGCACGUAUCAGAUUCAAGACGAACCAAAGAAGAUUUUAUCAAUUUCAAAAUUUUAUUGAUAGGUUUUCUCAAUAGUAAUUGUUAAUCGUAUAGCAUGAUGGUCUCUACUCGAGUGAAUAAUAAUUGUAGGAAUAUCAAAUGAUGCUUCAAAUUCUUAUCCAUUAUUGAUUACAUAUGGCCAAGUUGUUUAAACGCUAGUCUGUCACCCCACAUGUGAUCGUCUGAGUUCAGUAGUCGUAAAAGAUUGAUAUUUACUCGAAAUCUAACUGGGUUUUGCUUUCCUCAAACUUUUGCAGAAGUUGGUGGUGAAAAUGGAUAUAGGUGAUGAGGAAGCCAAGACAAAGGCCAAGCGAGUAGUUUGGCAUAUUGCAGGUAUUGGCCCUCUCCCUGUCUGUUUUUUCCCUUCAUUCUCCCACUGGAUGUUUAAAUCGUCACUGUGAUAGUAAUCAUCCUGUGCUCGAAAUGUUUGGCUUCGCUAACCUUUGUCACGUAAUGCUUUCCAGGAUUUGAGCGUCUGACUGUGGACACAGAGCUCAAUAAACUAACAGUAUCUGGCACUAUGGACCCGGUCAAGGUGGUGAACAAACUGACGAAACUGCACGCAGAAAUGGUGAGCUUCGGAGCAGCCAAGGAAGACAAUGGCAAGAAAGAAGGGGGACAGAAGAACGAAGAUCAAGUCGCCAGUCAGGUAAAAGCCUCUCAAGCAUACUAUCCUGGACAGGCCAGUGCUCUUCGGCUCCUUGAUCUCCUUUUUUCACUCCUACACUUCGAACCUACCCGAUGAUCAUUCUCCAAUCAAUCCUAAAUGUGCAAAAAAGAUUGACUAUUCCCGAAGAUAAAUUUGGAAUCUCCGUUGAUUUUGUCGCCUAUACAAACGGAUCUCCAGUUUCCAGAAGUAGCGUUCUUCGGUUUAAGGAAAGUAGCUUGUGUUCACAACGAUUAUCAAUCAGAAGCUUUCUUGCAAAACUGUCCUUCAGAUUGGCAAUUUAAUCAUCACUUUCUAUAUUUGAAAUCCUAGACAGAUUACUAGUUGCGUUGUUCAAGAUAGUGGCGCUUGCAUCUGAAAGUUUAUGUGGGCGUUGAUCUUCGGAUUCUGAUGUUGUUUCACUGUAGUGGACUCUGUAAAUAUUUCAAGGUUUGGAAUAUCUCCACGUAUCAGAUUUGCCGAUAUCCAUAUGGUCCAUAUCCAUGAUGUUGUUGAGAUGCUAUCCAAAGAUAUUUGAACAACAACAGAAGGGUUCUGAAAAAUGUCAAGAUAUUGACUUCUCUUCAUGGUCUCCAUAUUCAAAGAGCAGUUGAUUGAAUCUGAAACAACUUCUCUUCAUGAGUAGUUCCUGUAAGAUGAUACCGUUAUGCACGUAUCAGAUUCAAGACGAACCAAAGAAGAUUUUAUCAAUUUCAAAAUUUUAUUAAUAGGUUUUCUCCAUAGUAAUUGUUAAUCGUAUAGCAUGAUGGUCUCUACUCGUGUGAAUAAUAAUUGUAGGAAUAUCAAAUGAUGCUUCAAAUUCUUAUUCAUUAUUGCUUACAUAUGGCCAAGUUGUUUAAACGCUAGUCUCUCACACCACAUCUGAUCAUCUGAGUUCAGUAGUCAUAAAAGAUUGAUAUUUACUCGAAAUCUAACUGGGUUUUGCUUUCCUCAAACUUUUGCAUAAGUUGGUGGUGAAAGUGGAUCUAGGUGAUGAGGAAGACAGGACAAAGGCCAAGCGAGUAGUUUGGCAUAUUGCAGGUAUUGGCCCUCUCCCUGUCUGUUUUUUCCCUUCAUUCUCCCACUGAAUGUUUAAAUCGUCACUGUGAU
This 5633-nucleotide long non-coding RNA is filed under the name Eucalyptus grandis. RNAcentral describes it as "long non-coding RNA (EGRA_LNC002575)". The record is from RNAcentral. Lineage: Eukaryota; Viridiplantae; Streptophyta; Magnoliopsida; Myrtales; Myrtaceae.